Molecule: ribosomal RNA, 253 nt
Filed under: uncultured bacterium
Lineage: Bacteria
Description: partial 16S ribosomal RNA
Rfam family: Bacterial small subunit ribosomal RNA
Source: RNAcentral
UACGUAGGGGGCAAGCGUUGUCCGGAAUCAUUGGGCGUAAAGCGCGUGUAGGCGGCUUGGUAAGUCCGCUCUGAAAGCCCGGGGCUCAACCCCGGGAGGCGGGUGGAUACUGUCAAGCUCGAGUCCGGAAGAGGCGAGUGGAAUUCCUGGUGUAGCGGUGAAAUGCGCAGAUAUCAGGAGGAACACCAAUGGCGAAGGCAGCCCCCUGGGCUAACACUGACGCUCAGGCACGAAAGCGUGGGGAGCAAACAGG